CGGAGCCUGGAGAUGGGGACUGAGACAAGGCCCCAGGCCCAACGGGGCGCAGCAGGCGCGAAAACUCCGCAAUGCGCGCAAGCGUGACGGGGGGAUCCCAAGUGCCGUUGGUCUUUUGAUCGACGGCUUUUAGGAAGUCUAGGAAGCUUCCAGAAUAAGGGCUGGGCAAGACUGGUGCCAGCCGCCGCGGUAACACCAGCAGCCCAAGUGGUGGCCACGAUUAUUGGGCCUAAAGCGCUCGUAGCCGGAUCAAUAAGUCCCUUGUGAAAUCGGGCCGCCCAACGGUUCGGCGUGCAAGGGAUACUGUUGGUCUUGAGGCCGGGAGAGGUCGGAGGUACUCCUGGGGUAGCGGUGAAAUGCUCUAAUCCUAGGGGGACCACCAGUGGCGAAGGCGUCCGACCAGAACGGACCUGACGGUGAGGGGCGAAGGCUAGGGGAGCGAACGGGAUUAGAUACCCCGGUAGUCCUAGCUGUAAAGCAUGCGGGCCAGGUGUCUAGCGCUCCUUGAGGGCGCUAUGUGCCGGAGGGAAGCCGUUAAGCCCGCCGCCUGGGAAGUACGGUCGCAAGGCUGAAACUUAAAGAAAUUGGCGGGGGAGCACCACAAGAGGUGGGACCUGCGGUUCAAUUGGAUUCAACGCCGGAAAACUCACCAGGGGCGACAGUUGGAUGAAAGCCAGGUUGACGACCUUGCCCGACUAGCUGAGAGGUGGUGCAUGGCCAUCGUCAGCUCGUACCGUGAGGCGUCCUGUCAAGUCAGGCAACGAGCGAGAUCCUCGCCCUUAGUUGCCAUCGGUGGAAAGCCGGGCACUCUAGGGGGACCGCUGGCGCUAAGUCAGAGGAAGGAGAGGGCGACGGUAGGUCAGUAUGCCCCGAAUCCCCUGGGCUACACGCGGGUCACAAUGCGCAGGACAAUGAGAUGCAACCCCGUGAGGGGAAGCCAAACCCUUAAACCUGCGCUCGGUUCGGAUCGAGGGCUGUAACUCGCCCUCGUGAAGCUGGAAUCCCUAGUAAUCGCGCGUCAACACCGCGCGGUGAAUGCGUCCCUGCUCCUUGCACACACCGCCCGUCAAGCCACUCGAGUGGGGUUUGGAUGAGGUCAGUUCAAGUUGGGCUGCUCGAAUCCGAGUUCUGCAAGAGGGGCU
Molecule: ribosomal RNA, 1142 nt
Filed under: uncultured archaeon
Lineage: Archaea
Description: bacterial SSU rRNA
Rfam family: Archaeal small subunit ribosomal RNA
Source: RNAcentral